GAUGAAGAACGUAGCGAAAUGCGAUAAGUAAUGUGAAUUGCAGAAUUCAGUGAACCAUCGAAUCUUUGAACGCACAUUGCGCCCGCCAGUAUUCUGGCGGGCAUGCCUGUUCGAGCGUCAUUUCAACCCUCAAGCACAGCUUGGUGUUGGGACUCGCGUUAAUUCGCGUUCCUCAAAUUGAUUGGCGGUCACGUCGAGCUUCCAUAGCGUAGUAGUAAAACCCUCGUUACUGGUAAUCGUCGCGGCCACGCCGUUAAACCCCAACUUCUGAAUGUUGACCUCGGAUCAGGUAGGAAUACCCGCUGAACUUAAGCAUAUCAAUAAGCGGAGGA
RNAcentral lists this unclassified non-coding RNA (332 nucleotides) under soil metagenome. RNAcentral describes it as "partial contains 5.8S ribosomal RNA, internal transcribed spacer 2, and large subunit ribosomal RNA". The stretch from base 1 to 120 matches the Rfam family "5.8S ribosomal RNA", at positions 35 to 154 of the family's 154-position model. The record is from RNAcentral.